UGGAUUUUUGAGUUACAAUACAUUUUCAAAUGCAAAAUAGGAAAUACAAUAAAUAAAACUCGACGAACUUACUAGACUAUGACAGACUCAAAAAUUAACUAAAUGACUGAAUACUACUAUACGGGACUAGAAAGUAAAACAUGAACAAUAGACUCCAAAACAUAAAAAAGCUCCUCAGGCAGCUCCUGAAUCUAGUGGUCCUUGGAUAUCUGUCAUGCUCAAACUCCGGUAAAUAGAUCCACACCUGUAUGAGAAAAUUGAAACCAAUACUAUGUAAGACAAUAACAUUCCCUGCUAGACACAUGCAAGACAUAGUUUAGGCUAUUUUUGCAAAAUGGCUUAUUUAAAGGUGGCUAGAAGAGCAAAAUUUGGCUAAGACCCGGCAAAGCCAAGAACCUAAGAUUUACUAGGAAGACUGGACCCUAUGUGAGUUGCCUACGUAUGAUGCCUCGAAAGACGAGAAUUAGGUAUGCGUAGUUCGGGCAGAUUGGAUACAGGCGAGAAUUGAAAAAACAACUAAUUUAGAGAAAAAAUAUUUUUUGUCCUUUCUGAAAAAUGAUGAAACAUGUAAAAUCUUUUUGGAUUUUCUUUUCCCAUUUUUUUUUUUUGAUUUUUUUGAUUUUGGGAAAAUGAUGAAAAGUGCAAAAAAACAAAUUUGAAUUUUUUCAUGUUUUUUUUCUUUUUCUUAACAAAAAUGUGACAGAAAACAUAACUGGUCACCCUCUCAUUUUUUUUUCUUUUUUAUUUGCCCUCAACUAUCAUUGGACCGCUAAAUGACCCUUUUAUCCUCAAAGAAAUGCAACAUGUAGCACAUAUGAUGCAUUAAGAAGGUCUGUUAUUUUUGAUACACCUGUCCUAGACGGACCCAACUCCUGUGUUGAGUUCCCAAGGUCAAAUGCACAUGAUGCAAACAAACGCUCCUACUAGGGAUCCGAUAUGAGGCUAUAUUUUUCUAGGUUUAAAUCCUGGGAUUAUGUUCUAGAUCUGGCUUACCCGAGCGGACAACUCGAGCCGAAGAGGAGGCAACGUAUCGGGAGAACUAAAGUCUACCCGGCCUUGUUGCUGGUCCAGCCCCGUUCUUAUGUGGUAUAACUUCUACAGAAAAAGCGGGCCACGCGAACGUGUGCACCAUUUUCAGUAGACUUAGAGGGUGGCGUAAGAAGACAGUUAUAUUCAAUUCAAACAAUAUUAAAGCGGUAAACAUAUAGCAUUUAGCACAAAAGGUUCACAGAAAACAGUAAUAUUAACAAUAAAUGAAGCCAAGUAUAAAUCAUAUUAACAAGCUCGAAUUCUUGAACCCUAAACCAGAGAUUCUGGGUUCUAUUCCCUAGCAGAGUCGCCAGAGCUAUCACACCUCCUUUUUACUGCCCCCGAUAGGGGCAUAAGGGAGUUUUUCCAAUUUAAGUGACAAUUGAAACGAGAUUAUUUAUUUAAAAUCAGAGUCGCCACUUGGGAUAAAUUAUGGUGUCCCAAGUCACCGAUUAAAAUCCUGAAUCGAGGAAUUUGACUCUAAUUACGGUCUAUGAACACAUAAAUCCGGAUAAGGAAUUUUGUUAACCCGGGAGAAGGUGUUAGGCAUUCCCGGGUUCCGUGAUUCUAGCACGGUCGCUUUGAUCAUAAUUGGCUUAUUAAAUUGUUUAAUUAUUGAUUUUAGAACCUAUGUGCAUUUGCCUUUUUUAAUUAAGAAAUUAUCUUGAAACGGGUCACGCGUAUGUGUACCCAUUUGUUUGGCGCGUAAAAAAUCAUGUCACGCGAACGUGUCCACAAUUAAUAAUGCUUUAUUAUCAUUAAGAAAAUCUGGCCGAAGUUGCGUGAACGCAUACUCUAGUUUUGUUUUUAGAAAUCGUAAUCAUGUCACGCAAACGUGUCCACAACCACGAUAAUAUAUUAAACGUGCCUAAAGCAAGCUACGAACAUUUGUUAUUUUUAUACCUAAAUGUGCACGGCAUCACCCUUCGUGCUUUAUCACUCUUCCUCACCAUAUGCAUAAGUAAGAAUGUGCACGGCAUCACGCUUCGUGCUUUAUCACUCUUUCCUCACCCAAAUAGUAGAAAACAAUAACAUCCCGGCAAGGGAAUCAACAAUUGAAUUAAAUACAUCCUGACAAGGGAAUCAACGAUUGAAUUAAAUACAUCCUGGCAAGGGAAUCAGCUAUAACCAAUCUAGUUCCAACAGUUAAUUUCACAAAAUGAAUCUAAACUUGAGCCAAUACUUAACAAAGGUCAAUUACUAGGAAAAUACCACAAAUCUUGUUCAACAUGGAUAAUCAUCAGUUUAGGCAUGAAUAGUACAUAAUAUGAAUCACAACGAUCACAGUAUAAGACUCACUUGCAUGCUCGACACCAACGUAUAGAUACUCGUCACCACACCUAUACGUCGUACACAACACUAACACAAAGAAAUUAAGACACAACACCUAUUCCCUCAAGCUAAGGUUAGACCAAACACUUACCUCGGAUUCCACGACCAAACUCAAGCCUUAAAUACCACUUUUCCUCUAGAUUUCACCUCCAAUUCACUUGUAUCUAGCCAUAAUUAACUUUACAAUAUCAAUAAGUGCUAAAGAAUUCAACUCCAAUGCUUAAUUAUAAGUUUUCUAUUAUUUUUUCCAAAAAGUCAAAAAUCGACCCUAAGCCCGCUUGGUCAAAACUCGAGGUUUGAACCAAAACCCGAAUACCCAUUCACCCACGAGCUCGUAUAUGCAAUUAGUUUUGAAAUCCGAUCCCAAAUCGAGGUCUAAAUUUUAGUUAUACAAAAAGCCCUAAUUCUAUCCAAAUUCCCAAUUUCUACCAUGAAAACCCUAGAUUUUUUUGAUGAAAAUUGAUGAAAUGCAAUGGGUAAUUGAAAGAAAGUGGUUUAGAAUCAUAUACCAAUGUCACACCUCCUUUUUACUACCCCGAUAGGGGCAUAAGAGAGUUUUUCCAAUUUAAGUGACAAUCGAAAUGAGAUUAUUUAUUUAAAAUCAGAGUCGCCACUUGGGAUAAUUUAUGGUGUCCCAAGUCACCGGUUAAAAUUCCGAAUCGAGGAAGUUGACUCUAAUAACGAUUUGCGAACACAUAAAUCCAGGUAAGGAAUUCUGUUAACCCGAGAGAAGGUGUUAGGCAUUCCCGGGUUCCGUGGUUCUAGCAUGGUCGCUUUGAUCAUACUUGGCUUAUUCAAUUGUUUAAUUGUUGAUUUUAGAACCUAUGUGCAUUUGUCUUUUUAAUUAAGAAAUUAUCUUGAAACGGGUCACGCGUACGUGUACCCAUUUGUUUGGCGUGUCAAAAAUUAUGUCACGCGAACGUGUCCACAAUUAAUAACGCUUUAUUAUCAUUAAAAAAAUUUGGUCGAAGUUGCGCAAACGCAUACUCCGGUUUUGUUUUUAGAAAUAGUAAUCAUGUCACGCGAACGUGUCCACAACCACGAUAAUAUAUUAAACGUGCCUAAAGCAAUCUACAAACAUUUGUUAUUUUUAUACCUAAAUUAAUACGAGGUCCAUAGGGAUUCAAUUAUGAAUGGCACACCUCGGCUUAGAGAACUGCAUUUAAUUUAGCAGCAUAUUAACAACCAUUUUAUUAUUAAGAAAGUUUGAUCGAAGUUGCGCGAACGCAUACUCCGAAUUGGUUUUUUCGAAUCGUAAUCAUGUCACGCGAACGUGUACACAAUCACAAUUGUAUUUAAAACGCACCUAAAGCCAGCUACGAUGUUCAUUUUAGAAACCGUAAUCAUGUCACAUGAACGUGUACAUAAUCACAAUAAUAAAUUCAAAACGCGCAUAAAAGUUCACCUACCCGGGUGUGGUCGGCCUAAACAUGCUCCUAGAGAAACGGGCAUGCUCGACACUAACGUAUAGAUACUCGUCACCACACCUAUACGUCAUACACAACACUAACACGUAGCAAUUAAGACACAACACCUAUUCCCUCAAGCUAAGGUUAGACCAAACACUUACCUCGGAUUCCAUGACCAAACUCAAGCCUCAAAUACAUCUUUCCCUCUAGAUUUCACCUCGUAACUUUACAAUAUCAAUAAGUGCUAAAGAAUUCAACUCCAAUGCUUAAUUAUAGGUUUUCUAUCAUUUUCCCCAAAAAGUCAAAAAUCGACCCUUAGCCCGUUUGGUCAAAACUCGAGGUUCGGACCAAAACCCGAAUACCUAUUCACCCACGAGCCCGAAUAUGCAAUUAGUUGAAAUCCGAUCCCAAAUCGAGGUCUAAAUUCCAUUUAUACAAAAAACCUUAAUUCUAUCCAAAUUCCCAAUUUCUACCAUGAAAACCUUAGAUUUUUGGAUGAAAAUUGAUGAAAUGCAAUGGGUAAUUGAAAGAAAGUGGUUUAGAAUCAUAUACCAAUGUCACACCUCCUUUUUACUACCCCGAUAGGGGCAUAAGAGAGUUUUUCUAAUUUAAGUGACAAUCGAAAUGAGAUUAUUUAUUUAAAAUCAGAGUCGCCACUUGGGAUAAGUUAUGGUAUUCCAAGUCACCGGUUAAAAUUCCGAAUCGAGGAAGUUGACUCUAAUUACAGUUUGCGAACACAUAAAUCCGAGUAAGGAAUUUUGUUAACUCGAGAGAAAGUGUUAGGCAUUCCCGGGUUUCGUGGUUCUAGCACUGUCGCUUUGAUCAUACUUGGCUUAUUAAAUUGUUUAAUAGCUGAUUUUAGAACCUAUAUGCAUUUGCCUUUUUUAAUUAAGAAAUUAUCUUGAAACGGGUCACGCGUACGUGUACCCAUUUGUUUGGCGCGUCAAAAAUCAUGUCACGCGAAGUCCACAAUUAAUAACGCUUUAUUAUCAUUAAAAAUAUUUCGCCGAAUUGCGCAAACGCAUACUCCGGUUUUGUUUUUAGAAAUCGUAAUUAUGUUACGCGAACGUGUCCACAACCACGAUAAUAUAUUAAACGUGCCUAAAGCAAGCUACGAACAUUUGUUAUUUUUAUACCUAAAUUAAUACGAGGGCCAUAAGGAUUCAAUUAUGAAUGGCACACGUCGGAUAGAGAACUGCAUUUAAUUUAGCGGCCUAUUAACAACAAUUUUAUUAUUAAGAAAGUUUGAUCGAAGUUGCGCGAACACAUACUCCGAAUUGGUUUUUCGAAUCGUAAUCAUGUCACGCGAAAGUGUACACAAUCACAAUUGUAUAUAAAACUCACCUAAAGCCAGCUACGAUGUUCAUUUUAGAAACUAUAAUCAUGUCACGCGAACGUGUACAUAAUCACAAUAAUAAAUUCAAAACGCGCUUAAAGGUUCGCCUACCCGGGUAUGGUCGGCCUAAACAUGCUCCUAGAGAACCCAAAUGAAUUAAAGGUAAAACAAUAAGAUUGCCUCGAGCCUAGACCCGCAUACCCAACAUCAAUUUAAUGAAUUGACCCAAGCCCAUUUUUGGUCAACCCCACAAUUCUAAACAAUUCACAGUUUGCCAUUUCCAUUCAACUUGAUGUCUUCAUUCUUAUUUAACAUAUCUUAUAAAACAAACUUUAAAGAAAACAAAUUAAACAAAAUAACAAUGAAGCUAAUCAAGGUUAAACAAAUCAUAAGCAGAUUCAAAUUUAUUGAAAUAAAGAAGUAUAUUCAUUGAUUAACAAGAGGGAUGAAAGGAGAUGGACCUGAAAAAUGAUCUUGCAAUCAAUCUAACUUGGCGGUUCACGGACAGAAUACCGCAACUACGAAUGGAGUUCAAAACAGCAAAUCCAAUUUGAACAAAACUAGCGGACCGCACCUCGGAUGGCAAUUCCAACAAUCAAACACUCGUUUCAACCCAAACUCCAUUUCGGAAAACAAAACUAAAAUAACAGCCUAAAUUUCAUAAUGUAUUUCGCGUUUGAAAGCAAAAACGAACCUAGACUCAUCUGAAAAUCAGAAAAUGAAAAGUCAGAAUCAAAGAGACAAAACCCCCGUUUUUCUUUUAUCCUUUUUCGCCCAGAUUUUUUUUUUGUUUGUUCUUGUGACUUUCCCAUUUCCGUCUCGUGUUUGUCCGUUCCCUGCCUCUGUUUUUCGCUGCUGUAUGUGUGUGUACGGCGCCGAAUUCCGACCAGUUAUGGUGGUGAGGGAGCGAUGGCUGCUGGAGUUCUUCCGGCAAGUUUGGUGGUCGACUGGUUCCGGUCUUAGAGAGGAGAGUCGCUGGGGUUUUAGGGUGAAGAAACGAAAGGUUUGGGGCUGGUUGUCGCUUGGUUGCUGCUAUGAGGUUCAGGGGUGUUCUUUAGAUGGGGUGUUAGAGAGAAAAUGAUGAGGACCUGGGGGGUCGUUUGUAUUUUGUGGAUGGUUAGGGAUUUUUCUGAGAGGUGGGGUGGGGUGCGACGAGGAACAUGAAGUUCUAGGGGGGGUCAUUUGUUUGUUGCGGUUGUCAGCUCCUUUUUUCUCUAGUCUACGCUAUUGUUUUUUGUGUAAUUUUUGGUUGAUCCUCCUC
Molecule: long non-coding RNA, 6367 nt
Filed under: Nicotiana tabacum (common tobacco)
Lineage: Eukaryota; Viridiplantae; Streptophyta; Magnoliopsida; Solanales; Solanaceae
Description: long non-coding RNA (NTAB_LNC018930)
Source: RNAcentral